GAUGAAGAACGUAGUGAAAUGCGAAAAGUAAUGUGAAUUGCAGAAUUCAGUGAAUCAUCGAAUCUUUGAACGCACAUUGCGCCUGCUGGUACUCCGGCGGGCACGCCUGUCCGAGCGUCAUUUCAACCCUCAAGCCCUCCUUCGGGAUGGGCCUGGUGUUGGGGCUCGGCCGCCAUCUCCGGCGGCCGUCCCCUAAAUACAGUGGCGGUCACGUCGCGACUCCUUUGCGUAGUAGAAACACCUCGCUCCGGAUAGCAACGCGGUCCACGCCGUAAAACCCCCAAUUUUCAAUGGUUGACCUCGGAUCAGGUGGGAAUACCCGCUGAACUUAAGCAUAUCAAUAAGCGGAGGA
Molecule: unclassified non-coding RNA, 352 nt
Filed under: soil metagenome
Description: partial contains 5.8S ribosomal RNA, internal transcribed spacer 2, and large subunit ribosomal RNA
Rfam family: 5.8S ribosomal RNA (bases 1-120)
Source: RNAcentral